AGUGAACGCUGGCGGUAGGCCUAACACUUGCCAGUCGAACGGCAGCACAGUAAGAGCUUGCUCUUACGGGUGGCGAGUGGCGGACGGGUGAGGAAUACAUCGGAAUCUACUUUUUCGUGGGGGAUAACGUAGGGAAACUUACGCUAAUACCGCAUACGACCUACGGGUGAAAGCAGGGGAUCUUCGGACCUUGCGCGAUUGAAUGAGCCGAUGUCGGAUUAGCUAGUUGGCGGGGUAAAGGCCCACCAAGGCGACGAUCCGUAGCUGGUCUGAGAGGAUGAUCAGCCACACUGGAACUGAGACACGGUCCAGACUCCUACGGGAGGCAGCAGUGGGGAAUAUUGGACAAUGGGCGCAAGCCUGAUCCAGCCAUACCGCGUGGGUGAAGAAGGCCUUCGGGUUGUAAAGCCCUUUUGUUGGGAAAGAAAAGCAGCAGGUUAAUACCCCGCUGUUCUGACGGUACCCAAAGAAUAAGCACCGGCUAACUUCGUG
This 492-nucleotide ribosomal RNA is filed under the name uncultured bacterium. RNAcentral's name for it is "partial 16S ribosomal RNA". It matches the Rfam family "Bacterial small subunit ribosomal RNA", at positions 29 to 507 of the family's 1533-position model. The record is from RNAcentral.